This 1045-nucleotide ribosomal RNA is filed under the name potato plant root bacterium RC-III-43. RNAcentral's name for it is "bacterial SSU rRNA". It matches the Rfam family "Bacterial small subunit ribosomal RNA", at positions 9 to 1050 of the family's 1533-position model. The record is from RNAcentral.
GAGUUUGAUCCUGGCUCAGGAUGAACGCUAGCGGCAGGCCUAAUACAUGCAAGUCGGACGGGAUCCGGUGGUAGCUUGCUACCAUUGGUGAGAGUGGCGCACGGGUGCGUAACGCGUGAGCAACCUACCUCUAUCAGGGGGAUAGCCUCUCGAAAGAGAGAUUAACACCGCAUAACAUCAACAGUUCGCAUGUUCUGUUGAUUAAAUAUUUAUAGGAUAGAGAUGGGCUCGCGUGACAUUAGCUAGUUGGUAGGGUAACGGCUUACCAAGGCGACGAUGUCUAGGGGCUCUGAGAGGAGAAUCCCCCACACUGGUACUGAGACACGGACCAGACUCCUACGGGAGGCAGCAGUAAGGAAUAUUGGUCAAUGGGCGGCAGCCUGAACCAGCCAUGCCGCGUGCAGGAUGACUGCCCUAUGGGUUGUAAACUGCUUUUGUCCAGGAAUAAACCUAUCUACGUGUAGAUAGCUGAAUGUACUGGAAGAAUAAGGAUCGGCUAACUCCGUGCCAGCAGCCGCGGUAAUACGGAGGAUCCGAGCGUUAUCCGGAUUUAUUGGGUUUAAAGGGUGCGUAGGCGGCCUAUUAAGUCAGGGGUGAAAUACGGUGGCUCAACCAUCGCAGUGCCUUUGAUACUGAUGGGCUUGAAUCCAUUUGAAGUGGGCGGAAUAAGACAAGUAGCGGUGAAAUGCAUAGAUAUGUCUUAGAACUCCGAUUGCGAAGGCAGCUCACUAAGCUGGUAUUGACGCUGAUGCACGAAAGCGUGGGGAUCGAACAGGAUUAGAUACCCUGGUAGUCCACGCCCUAAACGAUGAUAACUCGAUGUUGGCGAUAGACAGCCAGCGUCCAAGCGAAAGCGUUAAGUUAUCCACCUGGGGAGUACGCCCGCAAGGGUGAAACUCAAAGGAAUUGACGGGGGCCCGCACAAGCGGAGGAGCAUGUGGUUUAAUUCGAUGAUACGCGAGGAACCUUACCCGGGCUUGAAAGUUAGUGAAGAGUGCAGAGACGCACUCGUCCUUCGGGACACGAAACUAGGUGCUGCAUGGCU